AUCCAGCUGACGAGUCCGAAAUAGGAUGAAACGCGUAUCAAACUGGAU
Non-coding RNA from Schistosoma rodhaini, 48 nucleotides. The record is from Rfam. NCBI's taxonomy places the organism in Eukaryota, Metazoa, Platyhelminthes, Trematoda, Strigeidida, Schistosomatidae.